This 676-nucleotide ribosomal RNA is filed under the name Clostridioides difficile. Its description in RNAcentral is "bacterial LSU rRNA". It matches the Rfam family "Bacterial large subunit ribosomal RNA", at positions 781 to 1465 of the family's 2925-position model. Lineage: Bacteria; Bacillati; Bacillota; Clostridia; Peptostreptococcales; Peptostreptococcaceae. The record is from RNAcentral.
GAUCAACUUCGAUAAGCUCGGGGAUGACUUGUGGGUAGCGGUGAAAUUCCAAUCGAGCCCGGAGAUAGCUGGUUCUCCCCGAAAUAGCUUUAGGGCUAGCCUCAAGGUGAGAGAUACGGAGGUAGAGCACUGAAUGUCCUAGGGGGUAUUGCACCUACCGAAGACUAUCAAACUCCGAAUGCCGUCAUCUUAUACUUGGGAGUCAGACUGUGGGUGAUAAGAUUCAUAGUCGAAAGGGCAACAGCCCAGAUCGUCAGCUAAGGUCCCUAAAUGUAAGUUAAGUGGUAAAGGAUGUGGGAUUGCACAGACAACCAGGAUGUUGGCUUAGAAGCAGCCACUCAUUCAAAGAGUGCGUAAUAGCUCACUGGUCGAGUGAUCCUGCGCCGAAGAUUUCCGGGGCUAAAACUUACUACCGAAGCUACGGCAUCAGUAAUGAUGGGUAGGGGAGCUUCCCAUACGGGUUGAAGCAUGACCGUAAGGACAUGUGGACAGUAUGGGAGUGAGAAUGUUGGCAUGAGUAGCGAGAUGUGGGUGAGAAUCCCACAGGCCGUAAACCCAAGGUUUCCAGGGGAAGGUUCGUCCGCCCUGGGUUAGUCGGGACCUAAGCUGAGGCCGAAAGGCGUAGGUGAUGGACAACAGGUUGAUAUUCCUGUACUACCGAUAACCGUUUGAGAGA